RNAcentral lists this small RNA (72 nucleotides) under Eubacterium sp. CAG:161. Its description in RNAcentral is "GA-cis RNA". It matches the Rfam family "GA-cis RNA". Lineage: Bacteria; Bacillati; Bacillota; Clostridia; Eubacteriales; Eubacteriaceae. The record is from Rfam by way of RNAcentral.
AAGAGGAGGGAACAUUUUAGAAAAACGUUUCCGAUGAACUGCCGCUGAUCGAAGAAGGUGGCAUCACAUAUU